CAGGCAGAAUCAGGAGAUCUGAGCUGGCCUCCCUCUGCACCCCACCCCAGGCACCUGCCUCCUCUCCAGCUUAUCUCCCCCAUCCCCUUCCCGGGUUGCCAUUGACAACCUGCCAUUCUCAGAGCAUGCUUCUGAGCUGCCGAGCCUUCGCACCUGCUGGCUCCUCCACCUGAAUGUCCUUCUCUCUGUCCUCUUCCUGGAAACCCCAGCUGCCUCAGGAUAUGGUUCAGUCAUCACCUCCUUCAUCCAGCCUUCUCUACCUCUUUGUCUUAACAUUGAAAUGGCCAGCGUGUUCUUCUACCUGCCUGCCAGACAUGCAGGCCCAAGGUACCAGGAGGCAGAUGCUGACAGAUGCAUCUCAGUAUGCCCGGCACCUCCACCACACAAGGGCUGUGCUGGUUGCUGUGGGAAUGCUGCAGGGCACAAAACGGAUAAUGCUGGAGGGAGAAGACAGCAAACACAAGGCUCAAGAAACUCCAGUAUGUAAGAAGAGGACAUGCACAAUGGAAGAGGGAAGCCACCAUGCAGAAUGUCGGGGUGCACUUUUAAAUGGGACAGUCAAGAUGAGGAAACUGAGGCUUGGCGUCUCAUUGAG
RNAcentral lists this long non-coding RNA (595 nucleotides) under Homo sapiens (human). Its description in RNAcentral is "non-protein coding LINC01343:4". The record is from RNAcentral. Lineage: Eukaryota; Metazoa; Chordata; Mammalia; Primates; Hominidae.